RNAcentral lists this long non-coding RNA (1328 nucleotides) under Oryctolagus cuniculus (rabbit). Its description in RNAcentral is "lncRNA (ENSOCUG00000033582.1)". Lineage: Eukaryota; Metazoa; Chordata; Mammalia; Lagomorpha; Leporidae. The record is from RNAcentral.
UCUGGCAGUCUGUACCACAUUGCAGUCUGAAUGCACAAAUACAGACUAGAAAAGUCCUUGGUUCUUAAAACUUCAGGCAAAAGAGAAGAGUGGGGAGAAAUGGAGGAAAGAAAGUUAUACAGCUAAGUGCAGCCAAAUGUACAGCAAAUUAAUAACAAAGACAAACCCCAGCCUGCACCAUUUCAAACAAGAUCUGCAGACGUGGGUGCUCUGAGUCCCAAUGGUGCAGACAGCACCACCCCCAUAUCCCAAGAAGGGGCCCUUGCUGCUGGCUGGACUUCCCAGGCAGGGCUCCCAGGCUGGACCCAGGAGGGAGGCUGACUCACUGGACUGCAGACCAGCCUGGAAAUCCCUGGAGGGCCCUUCCAGGCUGCCCCUCUUCAGACGUGAGCUGGGCAGGUGAGCGCCGCACUGCUGUUCUCAGGGACCUGCCGUAGCUGUCCUUGGCUUCACAGAUCUCCUGAAGGGGAUCCUUUGUGGAAUGGGCCCCAGGGUGGAGAAGGAGUGGCCUCCACAGUGCGGUUCUGUGACACACAGUGCAGGCUGUUGUCACCAGGCCUGAUGUGGCCAUCGGUGUAUGUCUGUGAGGGUGGUUGCCAUGGCACCAGGCCUGUACACAAUGAGUUCCAUCCUGAGAGUAACACCCAGGAGUUAUACUGACUGUGUGAUGACUUGUACAGGCCAUACGAAGUGGUGGGGCCUCAGAGACAUCCUGGAAGGUGCUAGCGAUGACACCAGAGCCUGAAUAACUCUGGGGGUUCUGGGAGGGGAUAGACAAUGCAGGGAGGGGCAGGGAAAGUUCUGGAAGGUUGUGACAGAGGGAUUGUUGCCCCGAAGGUUCCCACAGGAAGAGCCAUCUGUCUCCUUUCCUUGCCAGAUCUCCUUGGCCCCCAGCUUGGCUUGCACUGUGCCUGUCCUGCUGGGGCCUCCAUGCUGUCUCUCCUCAUCCUCACCACCACACCUCUGCCCCUCUUUCUGCUUUCCAAGUGCUCAAGGACACCACCUUGGUGUCUGCCAAGGGACCCCGAAGCACUCCCAUUGAUGCUCACAUCUUCAUACACAAGGGUGACACAGAGACGGUUGAAGCUCACAGGACUGGGAAACCAGUGCCCAGGGCUGAAGGAGAGCCCUCUUUGUGUAUCUGGAACCUGUGUCGUGGCCGCUACCAGCCUUCUUGGGCCUUCUGUGCUCAGAACAGGGAGACCCAGUCACGGCCUCUCUCACACAGUUAGCCCGAGAGAUCAUUUGUGCUACCUCCUUGUGUGUUCAACAGUUACUCUAUUCAUAAUGUUGAAAUGAAAUAAAAAAUGUUGUAGCCAGAAAAGGCA